CAUAUCCGUAAAGGCGUGAACGAUCUCAGCACCUUGGACAUAAUAUCAGAAAAAAUUACCUUUACGACUAUAUCUUUUUUUUCGGAUAAUCCAGCUGAGGUCUGGGGAUCAAGUGAGGGGACAAGGAACUCAAGAGGGACAUCCCACUUUGGAAUUUAAACAAUUACCUAUAUGACUAUAUCUGUUUCUUGAUAGCCUGGCCGAGGUCUGGGCAUCAAGGAGCAAGGAGCUCAGGAGAGACAUCAUUCCACUUGCGACUACACUUUAGCAGAUCGAAAUGAUUCCUUGGUCCGGCCAUAAUAGAC
RNAcentral lists this long non-coding RNA (305 nucleotides) under Coffea arabica (coffee). RNAcentral describes it as "long non-coding RNA (CARA_LNC001421)". Lineage: Eukaryota; Viridiplantae; Streptophyta; Magnoliopsida; Gentianales; Rubiaceae. The record is from RNAcentral.